AUUGAACGCUGGCGGCAUGCCUUACACAUGCAAGUCGAACGGUAACGCGGGGGCAACCCUGGCGACGAGUGGCGAACGGGUGAGUAAUACAUCGGAACGUGUCCUGUUGUGGGGGAUAACCCAUCGAAAGGUGAGCUAAUACCGCAUGAUCUGGAGACAGCAAAGCAGGGGACCGGUAACGGCCUUGACGCGAUUGGAGCGGCCGAUGUCCGAUUAGCUAGUUGGUGGGGUAAAGGCCCACCAAGGCAACCGAAUCGGUAGCUGGUCUGAGAGGAUGAUCAGCCACACUGGGACUGAGACACGGCCCAGACUCCUACGGGAGGCAGCAGUGGGGAAUUUUGGACAAUGGGGGCAA
Molecule: ribosomal RNA, 355 nt
Filed under: uncultured bacterium
Lineage: Bacteria
Description: bacterial SSU rRNA
Rfam family: Bacterial small subunit ribosomal RNA
Source: RNAcentral